This 253-nucleotide ribosomal RNA is filed under the name uncultured bacterium. RNAcentral's name for it is "partial 16S ribosomal RNA". It matches the Rfam family "Bacterial small subunit ribosomal RNA", at positions 524 to 776 of the family's 1533-position model. The record is from RNAcentral.
UACGUAGGGUGCGAGCGUUAAUCGGAAUUACUGGGCGUAAAGCGUGCGCAGGCGGUGAUGUAAGACAGGUGUGAAAUCCCCGGGCUUAACCUGGGAACUGCAUUUGUGACUGCAUCGCUGGAGUGCGGCAGAGGGGGAUGGAAUUCCGCGUGUAGCAGUGAAAUGCGUAGAUAUGUGGAGGAACACCGAUGGCGAAGGCAGCCCCCUGGGCUAACACUGACGCUCAUGCACGAAAGCGUGGGGAGCAAACAGG